Haemorhous mexicanus (house finch) is the source of this 8962-nucleotide long non-coding RNA. RefSeq lists it as uncharacterized. Lineage: Eukaryota; Metazoa; Chordata; Aves; Passeriformes; Fringillidae. The record is from RefSeq and is a predicted model, not a curated record. The transcript is spliced from 7 exons.
GGGGGGGGCGGGGCCACUGCCCUCUCCUGAGGGGCGACGCUCUGCCCCUCCCUCCCCUCAGGCGUUCGGACAGAAAUUACAUGGGACCAGGGCUGGAGGUAACCAGGAGAGAACCAGACCCCUGGAGCACCACAGGAUGUGAAACGAUGUGAGGUGACACUCAAUCGUUACACCAAUUUAUUGUUAUCCCGAGAAUUUGCCAUUACCAGGCAUUCUCUGGCAGCUGGUAAAGGCAAUUUGGGAUAAGAAGGGGCUGCAGCACAAAUAAAGACGUGGCUUGUUAAGUUUAAGACUUAGAGCUAUGAGAUAUCUUCAGUUUAACCUGCUGUGCUGCCUCCCUUGUGUGAGGCAUUGGCUCCGUUCGUGGACAACAUCUGGCACAUGGCCUGUCCGAUUGUUCCCAAUCUCCAUCCUGAUUCCAGCACCAGUGCCCAGCAAGGUUCUGCAUCAGUUUCAGGCAAAUGCAGCAGUGCCUUGGGGUGUGGUGCCUCCAGAAGGGAGCAGUGGGAACUCAGACACAAGAGCAGUGAGCUUGCUGUGAGCAGUUUCCACACCAGGGAGAGGAAGAAUGUGGUUUUGUUCCUGGCUUCAGGUGGCUCUGACACAUGAAAGGUUUCACUAAUUCUCAGUUGAGACAAGUGAAUGAUGCCUGUCCCAUCAGAAGUGACUAAGGUACCUGAACAAGAGAAUGGGGAUUUUAAAAAACAGGAAAACCUGCACAGGAUGCUCAGUAAAUCUGAAAGGAAAACACCCACCUUAUAGCUCAUCUCCUAUAUGGAAUUUUUACCUGGAGUGCAGCUGACACCAGAGGAAAGGGUGAAAAGGCUUACAGCUCUGUGAGAGAUUGUGACAGAACUGACAGCAGUGGACCCUGCUGGGUCACCAGAGAAAGAGGGAAAACACAACCCUUUGUGAUUACAGUCAAAUACAAAUAAAUAUGUUGGAAAAGAACAUUCUCUAUUUCCUGCAAGCAGUAAAGUUUGGGGGGAAAUGGCCUAUGACAAAUAUUUUUCUCUGCUGGAGGCAGCAGCAGGGCUCUGACAGGCACGUUGGAAAACAGACCAUACGUUUGUGCAUAUUCAACAGCCCCACUGGGAGACAUCAUUUCUCAGGCUGCUGUUGGGGUUGUGUUUGGCACUUGAACUGUUUCAGGGGCUUUGAUAGUCCAGGAUCUGUGCAGAGGAUGUUUUGUUCUGAGGGAAAAGAGCACAAGCACAUGACCAGAAGCUCUGAUCAGCUAUUGAAAGACCCAGACCAGCAGAGCUCAACAACACAACUCCUUUGUAAUGGAAAUGCCAUACCUAGGCAUGAAAUUAGGAAAGCAAUGUGGACAAGUGGGUUCUGAGAAGGUUGAAGUCAUCCCCAGUAUUCCUGCCCAGCAGAAAAGGAUGCAAAAUUAAGACACCUCUGAGUGGUGAAGUGUCGACCCAAUUUAGCUGCCCAAGCAAUCAAUGACAGAUCUUUAUGAGUGUUCAGGAGCCCUAACACACAGAUCUUCCCAGGGAAACUGAAAGGAGCUAAUUAAUAGCCCAGACAAACAGAAUUAAAUGCAAAGCUGGACAUAGAUCUUUACAGCCCGGUGCUGACUGUGCUGAAUUCUCUCCUUGCACUCCCAGCUGACCCCAGUGAGGCAUCAAGAUUAAUCCUUGUACAAAAAGCUUUUGCUUUCCAUUUUCUGUAAAGCACUUGCAGACUGUCUACUCGAGUGUUUCACCUGGGUGCAAUUAGAGAUAGUUUAGUCUUGACUUACAGACUUAGCUGGGUGUAGUUUUGCUCUCCCCAUCCCACUUUGAGCACCCUGAAGUGAUACUUGUCUGUCUUCACUGCUCUGGCUGCUAUUCCCUAAAUAACUGAGGCUGUUUAACUCCCAAUUGCUCAGCUCCAUCUGUGACACCUGUCCUGUUUGCAGUGUGGUUUGGGACUCUGGUGCCCCAAACUGCAGUGAGGUGAUGAUGCCACUCAGAGUUAACACACAAGUCCCUGGGCAGGAGAUGUUGAAAAGUCAUGUGAAUCCUCCUUGUUCCCAAGAGGUGCAGAGCAAGGGCUCUCAAAGGAGCUUUAGGAGGAGUUCCAAGGCUGGCCUUGAACGUGGGAUACUUUCUGGAGAGGGGACUUGGGGUCAUUUGGCUCAUGUAAAGAGACAUGAGCUUGCUUUGGGGACUGGGCUGCUCCAGCCAUGGGACACAUGGCCAGCCCAGCAGAAGCAGCUCCUGCCCUCCACCACCAGACUGAGGCCAUUUAGAUACAAGUGUUUUAGGGAGAAAUACCAGUCUUGUCUGCAGGAAAUGUCUGUUUGGGAAGACAUCCCUUCAAGUGCUUGGAGAUGGCAGAGGAAGAAGUUAAACACUGAGGGUUAGGAGUCUGCCUUGCACAGGCAGCCCCUGCAGCAGGGAAAGCCAACAGCAGGUUUUCCAGGAUCGUGAUUUUGGAAUAAGGUGCCUAAAUGUUGUGUACAUUCCACUUCAGACUCUUCUUGGAUGCCUUAGAUGUCCCUUGUUUUUCCAGUGGAGAGCAGCAAUACUUCCAUGGUGUUUCCCAGUGUCACUGCUAAACUACUGAUCCCUUUUCAAAGCCAGGGUAGAAGGUACAGCACAAAAAAAUCUUCAUUUUUUAACUAAAGUAAGGUGAAAGAGGACAUCAAAUAAUAACAGGGUCAGCCUGAGGGCACUGAGAGGAUUCACAGAAUCCCACAAUGGUUUGGGUUGGAAGGGACAUUAAAUUUCAUCUCACUCCACCCCUGCCAUGGGCAGAGACACUUUCCACUAUCCCAGGGUGCUCCAAGCCCCAUCCAACCCGGCCUUGGACACUUCCAGGGAUGCAGGGGCAGCCACAGCUGCUCUGGGCACCCUGUGCUAGGGCCUCCCCACCCUCACAGGGAGGAAUUUCUUCCCAAUAUCCCAUCUAACCCUGGGGUCCAGAGAGAUGUGAGAUGCUUGGGAAAGGUAAAUCUUGGGCUCGAGGGCUGCAGCUGGCCUUGAUUUCACUCCUCAAGUGAGGAGCUCUCCUGGCUCCAGAAGGAGCCUUUCUAUGUGGAAGCUAAAGAUCUUUAAAACCUUCCAGAGGACAACAGCCAACAUUCCCUUUCUCCCAGCUCCCACUUCCUCACACACUCCCUUGACUGAGGAAGAGGAGCAGGUUCUGCUUGGCCUGAUUUGGAAGGAAGACCCAGACUCCACUGGGAGGGAUCUGGGGUUAUCCAGCUGCACCUCAGUCUUUCCUGUCCCAUCAUUCUAGUGACCCAGAAGUCUUGAAAAAUAAAUAAUAUUUGUAAUUGUUGGGUUAUUCCUCUACACAAAUGUAAUCUUUCUAUCAGUGCUGUGCAUAAGGAUAUGCAGAAAAAACAGGAAUGUUCUUGGGAUUGGAGACCAGUGGGCAGAACAUUUUUUGCAGGCCCACACAAAACUUUUGGGUUGUCCCAAGCCAAUGUCCCAGAAGGACAUCAGAGUCAGCACUUUCACUGCUGAAAUUACCCACAGCCAAGAUAAAUACAUGAAAUAUUAGUGGGAAUAUUGAGAAAUAACAAAAACUGGUGCAGAAACCACGGUGGAAUGUGCUCGCAGGGACAUGCACAGGCACAGCCUGUCCAACGGACUCGUGGUCAUCCACAAUCCUGGCUCACAACCUGCAGCCAUUCCCUGAAACCUUCCACCAGCCUCAAUUCCUUCUGUACAAAGGCAGUCCCAUGGCCUGUUUUAAAUCUCUGACAGCUUCAUUUUGGUUCGAGCUCAGCUUCUCUCCUGGAAUAACAGGCAUUUGGGAGGCUGUCCCACCAUCAUUGUGGGAGAGAAAACUGUUCCCCUGUGACAUCCCCCUUGCUCUGUGCCCACAAACCUCAGGGUCCAUCACAGCCUUGAGUCUGCAUGGAAAGAGCCAGCUGGAACCUCUGGAAACCUGGAAUGCUCAUGAGAUUGAGGAAGGGGGAAAGCAUGAGCACUGGUCCCUUCUCCAAAAGCUGCACACCAAGAUCCCAAAUCACUUCUUACUCCAGCACUCAGGAACUCACUGGAGUCAGAGCUUUGGGAUUUAACUGCUCCUGGAAAGAAAGAAACUCCUAUUUGCUUGCACAAAGAUUGUGAGUUUUCUUCCUCCACUCCAGUGGAAGUUUUAUCCAAUAGGCCCCUUGCUGUGUAUCCAGUGGCCUGGUCACCACUGCCUCAGGUGAGCACAAAUCCAGUGGACUGACGUGGGAAAACAGCCUGAGCUGGAGGUGUGCUCACAUAGCUUCAUUUAGAUCUUUCCUGAUGGGAGAAUUGAGAACCAAAGAUGUUCCCACCAAACCUACUCAUCCAAUUACUGGCCCACUUUGAAAAUGUGAUAUGGAUCAGAGGAGCAGCCUGCGCUUUUCCCAGGACGGAGCAGGAGUGUGCAGACACUGCACUUUUGGGAAGCAUCGAGAACCAGACACAGGAGCUUUGUGGCUUUUCUUCUUUGGCUCUGACUUGCUCUGACUCCUCACCUGCUCACCAUUAGCACCCCGUGGUGCAGUUGUGUUUGACAUCCCUGUGCCAGCCCCUGAUUUAUUUGGCCUCACACAGUCCCUCCUCCUCCACGCGGCCUUGGGAGCAGCAGAACAGACAUUCUGAAAUGGAACUCCCUUGAAUCAGUCACUGCCAAAGGAGCAGACACCUUCAAAGAGCAUUAUCUUUGUGAAUCAAACCUCACCCUUCCCAAAUGAUCUCUUUUUUUUGGUGAAAUGGAGCUUUUGGGGUUUGGCAGAAGCGGACAAAUACUCCAGUGGGCAGACUUAAAAAAAACAGGUGAAAGCAUGACUGAGGUUCAGAGUCACAGAAAAAAGGAGAGAAAGGAUUCAGGGAGAAAUCCAGUGUGCUACAUUCAUCACUCACUCAUUCAAUUACAAGGCUUUGAGCAACUGUGCAAUGAAGGGAAUUCAAGCUCCCCAUUUUCUGGUGUACCUCUAAUGCUUUUCCCCAUGGCACUGCAGGAGAUGAGCCAUGCUCCUUUCUACACCCAUUCCCCAUAGAAAAUCUGCAAACCAUCACCACUGAUGUUCCCUAAUUUAGAAUCCAUGUCCUAACAUUCUCUGCCUCCAAAGCAUGGCCACCACUUAAUGCCCUGCUUGCUUUAGGAACGUGGUUUUCCUUUGGUCUGAUGGGAACACCAUGAUUAUGUGCUGCACGUGCCAGAGAGGCAGGGCUGGUUGGGGAAGGAGAAGGGAGGCUUCAGCUCAGAAGUGAUAGUACCUAUUUUUGGCUUCCAGAACCAGGCUGUGCUUCUCCCACUCAGUUUUGAUGCUCCAACACAUUUCACUGGAGAUGUCACCAAUCCCAGGCAGUCACGACAAUCUGGGGUGCUGGGAUUCAGCUUCGUGGGGGAGGGAAGACAAGCAGCAAUUUUUCUGAAGUCUGUGGCAGGAACAAAUGGAUUUGUGGUGACUGUUAUUUGCAUAUUAGUACUUAGAUGAGGCUAUUUUUCAGUCUGAACAUACCGUUAGAACACGGGAGAUCUACAUCUGAUGGUCCCUUCCACCUGCAGUGGGACAUCACCUGCUCCUGAACUUCCAUGAUGAGGUUUUCAGAUCUGCUAAAACAUCUUGCAGAACCAAAUACCCUCUUGCUCCCCACUGCCUGGGACACAUAAAACAGACAAAAUACAGUCUCCUGGAGUGAAUUCAUGUCCUAAGUGUGUUUUACAGAACUACAGUGCCUACUGGGGGUGCACAGGAUUUUCCCAGAACUCCAAGUGCUACAGUUCCCACUGUUGUUAAGUGCCAACUUAUUUACAUCCCAGAAUCCCGAGGCAGCACAAGCCAAGGUCUCUGCUCCCAUCACCUGCUGCAGGUACCCCCAGGAGGUGGUGAGAGCCUCCCCUCUCCGUGGCUGUGCUUCAGCCAUGUGAAGGAGGAAGCCCAAAACCUCUCCUGAAACUGAGCACUCGACCUGGGCACCUCAGUCCAUGCUGGAGGGGCUCCCCAUGAGCAGGCCACCCUGUGCCUCCUGCCCCCAGCAGCCUGUCCCUGCCUGGCACCCUGCCCUGAGCCCCGCAGCACUGAGCAGGGAGGGGAGACAAAGCUGGGGCUGCCCAUCCUUGCAAGUGUCCAAGGCCAGGUUGGAUGGGGCGUGGAGCAACCUGGGACAGUGGCAGGUGUCCCUGUCCAUGGCAGGGGUUGGAACUGGAUGGGCUUUAAGGCCCCUCCCAAACCAUUCUGUGAUUCCAAAUCCAACAGGAUCCAAGGGAAGACAAGGCAGAGGGUGAGGAGCUCAGGCAUCUCUGACGCCAGGCCAGUGCUCUGAGAAAGUUGGGAACCAAAAGCCAGCCCUGUGGGCCUGCAGCUCACCCACCACGGGAUCAGCUUUCCUUUCUUCAGCUGCUUUUCUUCAUUCUGUUCUCUUGCAGCACUCUGUGCUAUGGAGUGAUAGAAAGACGUAACAGCUUCUCCAAACACAUUUAUCUUUAGAAAUGGAACAGCAAGAGAAAAUGACACCAUGUAGACACUGUAAAAAGCCUUCACUACAGUAAAAAAAAAAAAAAAAAAAGUUACAUUCUUGAUCAAGGAACAAACUGGUCUGAAUAGUCACAAUCACAUUUUACAGCCAUGUAACUCUUUUUAUCUUUUUCUCUCCCAACAUCUGAAGAAGAUGAACAUCUGAUUCCUUUAUGUGGGAAUUGCUUAAACCAGCACUGGGAGAAAAUAUGAAGUUGAAUAUUGAUCUGAAAAGAUGGAGUGAGUUCAGCCCUGAGUUAAUGGUCCUGGAUUUUGGACAGGGGCUGGCAGAGCUCAGCCCCUCUCAGGACCAGCCCCUGCCUGGUUCCUGCCAGCCCCACAGCCCGAGGCUCCUGCAGCUUCAUUCCUUUCAGCAAAGGUUGGCAGAAGGAGCACAGCACCAUUUUAUUUAAUCAUGGUUGGAGUUCUGGUAUGCAGAGGAAAAGAAUCCUGGGAGCAGAGUGUAUUUUCAUGAUGAGUGCAUACAGAGUGGUAUAAAAUGUCUGCACCACUUCUUUCCACUCCAGCCUGUGUCUUUGAAGUCAUGGUAACAGCUUUUGGAUCCCAAUCCUCUGAUGAGACUCCUUGAUUUAUUAGGUAAAACAUCUGGAAAAAAUGAGGACUUGUGGCACUGUAAAUCCUCCAGAAGGAGCAAAGAGAGGUUUCAUCUGAGCAGCCCUCCUGUCAAAACGCAGGAAACCUGAGCCCUGGCCACUGGCUUGAGGGUGCUCCGAGGCUGAAAAGCUCCAGCCGGGCUCGUUCCCGUUUCACCCAGUGGCCAGAAAGCAGCUGUGAGCAGAGGAAUGUGCAGCAGUCCGGGGAGCUGGGCCACGCCAGGCCGCUGGAAAGGUUUGCAGACGCUCGGGUGUCAGUAGCAGUGCUGCCCUUGACAGCACCAGGGAGCCCCUGCUGUAAAUCCCGGCACUCUGGGAGCAAUCUGGGAUGUAAAUACCUGCAAAUACCUGCCUGUCACCCACACAGGAACAGCCAAACCCACUGCCCGGGCCCCCGCCGAGAGGGGCCUUGGGGUGACUUUGCCAUCCCAUAAUUACAACAGGAACGUUGGAGAAGAAAACCGUUUGGAAGGAAUGAAGCCCGUGCAAGUACCAAACAAGGCGACUUUGUGAGGCAGAUUCCUUCUUUUAUUUGGAAGCAGCCCUGAGGUAUUGAUUAUUCAUUGAAAAUCUAAACCCCAAAGAUGUGACCAAAUGAUUUCACCAAAAAGGUCUGAUUUCUGCUCCAAAGCAGGCAUUUCCAAGCAGUGACAACCCUUUUGCUGUACAGAUAUUGUGGUGCUGAUGGGCACCCAGGGAUGGAAACAUCUCCAUGAAGUGCACGAGGGAGGAGAAGCUGCUGACGGAGCUGUUCCAAGGGAUCAGAUUAUAAAUGUAUGGAAUGACUCAGGUGCACCCUGCAUCCUGCCCAGGAGAAGCACCUGCAUGCACAAUGCCUGGCUGGGAUGUGGCACUGACAGCUCAGGCACCGGGGUCAGGACUCACCUCCAGUGUCAGACUGGCGCAAGUGCUUUGGAUGCUGGGAAAUGCAAAGCCACAAGGAUGAGAACAGACCUUUUCUGGGGGGAAACAAAAGCUAAAAUGUGAAUAGCUAUAAACCCCCAAUUUGUCACCAGAGGACAGCAAGUAUUUCCUUUCCUUGCCAGCCUGGAGGCUGGGGAGAAGCAGAAGUGGCUGAAGGAGAGCUCAAGGUGAGGCCCGUUAUUUACUGCUGCUGAUGAAUAAGCAAAGCCCCACAUCAUGUUUUCCUGCAGGACAGGAAAAGCUCUGGAGUGUUUAGCAGGCUGGGCAGUUGUUCUUUUCCCCCUCCUGGGGUGUGUUUUACAUGCUCUUCCAGCGAGACGCAGUCCCACUAUUAGUUGUUCACACACAUAAAACACAUGGAAUUCUCCUCCACCCCCACUCACACCCAGCAGACCAGCUGGGGGAGAGCUGGAAAAGUCACCCACCGAGACAGAGGUGGGGGGAAUAAUGUAAAAAAGAUCCAAAAGGAUUCGUGUUGGUUUUUUUAAAAAUGUAAUAUACUUCUCUGCACCAGUUUAAAAGCACAGGCUUGUUUGAACUUCCUAGGGAAGGCGGGAGCAGGGGGCAGGAAUUGGCAGGCUCCGAUCUGGCUGCUUUUCCUUAUUAUGAGAAAAUCCACUCUGGUCUUGUGCGAGGGUAUGAAUUCUUCAUCUCAUACUGUGUUUGCACAGAAGCGUGAAAUACAUCCCGAGCGCUGGUGCCGUCCCCAGAGCACAAUGCGAGAACAAGGAGGGCACUGAGAGCGGGGCCGCUGCUCGCCCAGGGCCCGGGCUCUGCACUGCAUUCAGCACAUCCACGGCGCUGAAAAGGAGAGCCCCAGGCACGUAUUUCCUCCCCGGAGCUCGGGGGCCCUGGGCUGCGAGCUGCCAUCCCUGUGGGAAGCUCCCACCCUCCUUUCCGUAAACGUUCCCCCCGCUGCCGCUGAAUCACCAAAUAAUCAGGAGACCCGUGGGAAGGAAAUUAAAGGGUGGUUAUCACGCUG